GUGCUCACUUCGGCAACGCAUAUUCUACACUUGGAACAAUACAGAGAAAAGUAGCAUGGCCCCUGUGCGAGGAUAGCAUUCCAAGUCAUGAAACUUUCACUCAUAUU
Molecule: small nuclear RNA, 107 nt
Organism: Suricata suricatta (meerkat)
Lineage: Eukaryota; Metazoa; Chordata; Mammalia; Carnivora; Herpestidae
Source: Ensembl